CCUACGGGUGGCAGCAGUGAGGAAUAUUGGUCAAUGGACGAGAGUCUGAACCAGCCAAGUAGCGUGAAGGAUGACUGCCCUAUUGGUUGUAAACUUCUUUUAUAUGGGAAUAAAAUGUUCCACGUGUGGGAUUUUGUCUGUACCAUAUGAAUAAGGAUCGGCUAACUCCGUGCCAGCAGCCGCGGUAAUACGGAGGAUCCGAGGGUUAUCCGGAUUUAUUGGGUUUAAAGGGAGCGUAGGUGGAUUGUUAAGUCAGUUGUGAAAGUUUGCGGCUCAACCGUAAAAUUGCAGUUGAAACUGGCAGUCUUGAGUACAGUAGAGGUGGGCGGAAUUCGUGGUGUAGCGGUGAAAUGCUUAGAUAUCACGAAGAACUCCGAUUGCGAAGGCAGUUCACUGGACUGCAACUGACACUGAGGCUCGAAAGUGUGGGUAUCAAACAGGAUUAGAUACCCCGGUAGUC
This 460-nucleotide ribosomal RNA is filed under the name uncultured bacterium. RNAcentral describes it as "partial 16S ribosomal RNA". It matches the Rfam family "Bacterial small subunit ribosomal RNA", at positions 338 to 795 of the family's 1533-position model. The record is from RNAcentral.